Molecule: non-coding RNA, 215 nt
Organism: Oncorhynchus mykiss (rainbow trout)
Lineage: Eukaryota; Metazoa; Chordata; Actinopteri; Salmoniformes; Salmonidae
Source: RefSeq, a predicted model, not a curated record
UGCAUAUUUUAAGGCCUUCUUACCAAAUGCCUUUUUGAGUAAGUAAAUGAUCUCAUUAUCAUUCUUUUCAAACCUGCCCAGCUCAAUCACUAAGACAAAAGCGUGAGUAUUGAGUAAAUAUUGAGGUGAAUAUUGAGGUGAGUAUUGAGGUGAGUAUCUCCGAUUACAACUGCCCUGGUAGUCUAGUCCUGCAGCAAAAUUUGUACAAUUCUUAU